Molecule: ribosomal RNA, 301 nt
Filed under: uncultured bacterium
Lineage: Bacteria
Description: partial 16S ribosomal RNA
Rfam family: Bacterial small subunit ribosomal RNA
Source: RNAcentral
CAGUCGCCACGGUAAUACGGAGGGGGCUAGCGUUGUUCGGAAUUACUGGGCGUAAAGCGUACGUAGGCGGUUUUGUAAGUUAGAGGUGAAAGCCCGGAGCUCAACUCCGGAAUUGCCUUUAAGACUGCAUCACUUGAAUCGUGGAGAGGUGAGUGGAAUUCCGAGUGUAGAGGUGAAAUUCGUAGAUAUUCGGGAGAACACUAGUGGCGAAGGCGGCUCACUGGACACGUAUUGACGCAGAGGUACGAAAGCGUGGGGAGCAAACAGGAUUAGAUACCCGAGUAGUCCCUGUCUCUUAUAC